AAAUAUAAUACAUGGUGGGUUCUACAAAGAUGUCUUUCAAAUAUGCUUAUAUAUAAAGGGCUCUUAUUGGAGAAUUAUUAAAUUAAAAUUAAAAUUAAGAAGAUGUGAUUAUCAAAAUUUCAAAUAAUGCAUCUUUUAAAUGACGAGCAUAGUACUUGUCCGUUCAUUUUUCCAAACGAGGUGUUAGUAGCAAUAUGCACUCGAGGACGAAUUUUGAGGCAGUAGGCUUAAGCUUGGGAUCUAGGUAGAGGCAGGACAGCCUUUGAGAUUUUGAGAACCCUAUGAGAAAUUUAAACUGAAACCCUCACAUUAUCUAAUAUAAAAAUACUAAAAAAAUAUGUCAUGAAUUGAUGCCAUUGUUGUAAAAUAACUGGGAUAUGUGCGAAUAUUGAGCUGCACGUAAAGUAGAUGAGACACAGUAUUUAACGAGGUUCGGCUAUGCCUACGUCCCCGGAGAGCAGCAGUAGUAACUUUUCCACUAUGUAAAAUAAUAGGGCUACAACUUUAGUGUUUACAAUAUAUGUGGCUCACUAAUUUUUCUCUCUUGGAGAAAUUUCUCUCCACUCUAUUUUUCUCUCUACUUACUCACGCUCUUUCUUCCUUCUCUUCCUUUCUUUCUUUCCUCACUCUUUCUUCUCUUCAUUUGGUGUAUCUUACAAGUGAAUGAGCAAGCCUAUUUAUAGGCAAAGUAAAAGGCUUCUAAUGGAGACAUAAUGAUUUCUCCCCAACAUCAUUAUCCCAUCUUUUGACUAAUACCUACUAGCUUUAUCUCCACUAAUUCCCACCUAAUUUUACCUAUGUGGGCUUCAUUUAUUUUAUAACACUCCCCCUUGAAGACCACAUGUGAUAUGUUAGUUGCAUCAUUAAAGACUUGCUUGGAGAAAACCUAGUGAGGUAGAAAACUGAUGGAAGAAAGAGUACAACAAUUUGUAUAGCAUACUUCUGGAUGCUCCCCCUGAUUAAUAUCUCCUCCUGAUGUCUUCAUGACUAUCUUUUGGAGUGAGAAUCUUUCGGAGUGAGUGGAGGAUGUAGCCAUUAACAAUUCUCGUAGUUGAGUAAGUAAAUAUAUUUCCAGUGAGCUAUCUCUAUGUAAAUCAUAGAAAUUUUCAGAGUCCGUGUUUUCAACAAAACUUGGGCUAUUUGCAAGUUCACUUGAGAGAAUAUGCCCGUACAUGGUGUUAUGCGGAGAUAGCAUCAAAUAUACCUCACAUCAUCCCAAAAUGAUGGUGAUGGAGUUGAGCCAUAUCUGGAAAAUAUGAUGUCCGG
RNAcentral lists this long non-coding RNA (1266 nucleotides) under Prunus persica (peach). RNAcentral's name for it is "long non-coding RNA (PPER_LNC007716)". Lineage: Eukaryota; Viridiplantae; Streptophyta; Magnoliopsida; Rosales; Rosaceae. The record is from RNAcentral.